RNAcentral lists this ribosomal RNA (251 nucleotides) under uncultured prokaryote. Its description in RNAcentral is "partial 16S rRNA". It matches the Rfam family "Bacterial small subunit ribosomal RNA", at positions 525 to 775 of the family's 1533-position model. The record is from RNAcentral.
ACGGAGGGUGCAAGCGUUAUUCGGAAUUACUGGGAGUAAAGCGCGUGUAGGCGGUCCUGCAAGUCUGAUGUGAAAGCCCCGGGCUUAACCCGGGAAGUGCAUUGGAAACUGCAGGUCUUGAGUACUGGAGAGGAUGGGGGAAUUCCCGGUGUAGAGGUGAAAGUCGGAUAGAUCGGGAGGAAUAUCAGGGGCGAAGGCGCGGAUCGGGACGGUAACUUACGCUGAUACGCGAAAGCUAGGGGAGCGAUCAG